The sequence is a ribosomal RNA, 437 nucleotides long. It matches the Rfam family "Bacterial small subunit ribosomal RNA", at positions 341 to 792 of the family's 1533-position model.
ACGGAAGGCAGCAGUGGGGAAUAUUGGGCAAUGGGCGAAAGCCUGACCCAGCAACGCCGCGUGAAGGAAGAAGGUUUUCGGAUUGUAAACUUCUUUUAUCAGGGACGAAGAAAGUGACGGUACCUGAUGAAUAAGCCACGGCUAACUACGUGCCAGCAGCCGCGGUAAUACGUAGGUGGCAAGCGUUAUCCGGAUUUACUGGGUGUAAAGGGCGCGUAGGCGGGGAUGCAAGUCAGGUGUGAAAUCUAUGGGCUUAACCCAUAAACUGCAUUUGAAACUGUAUCUCUUGAGUGUCGGAGAGGUAGACGGAAUUCCUAGUGUAGCGGUGAAAUGCGUAGAUAUUAGGAGGAACACCAGUGGCGAAGGCGGUUUACUGGACUGCAACUGACGCUGAGGCUCGAAAGUAUGGGGAGCAAACAGGAUUAGAUACCCUGGUA